Non-coding RNA from Oryzias latipes (Japanese medaka), 3107 nucleotides. The record is from RefSeq and is a predicted model, not a curated record. NCBI's taxonomy places the organism in Eukaryota, Metazoa, Chordata, Actinopteri, Beloniformes, Adrianichthyidae.
ACAUUUAAAAAAAAUACUUUUUUUUACAUUGGCUCUAAUCUCCUGUAAAAAACGUGUAAAAAUAAAAGUUGUUUUGUCUUUAGUCAAUGCAGUGACGGUUUGUAGAUUGGGUCAUUUCCACUUUGAACUUCCAUAGUCCAAGUGUAGCAGGUUCUAUGGAACUACUUCCUGGUCUCGAACCAAUAGGAAUCCAAGAACGACAUCACCUGUCUUUUCCCUUUCGUCUGUCGUUGUGAUUGCUGUGCAGCCAAAAACUGCCGUGAAAGGUGCAUCAUGGGUCGCCUGGAUGGGAAAGUGAUUGUGCUGUCUGCUGCUGCGCAGGGAAUUGGACGUGCUGCAGCAAUUGCUUUUGCAAAUGAAGGAGCUCAGGUCACUGCAACAGACAUAAAUGGAGAAAAGCUGAAGAAGCUGGAAGGAAUUAGAGGAAUCAGAACCAAAGUGGUGGAUGUGACCAAAAAGGAGGAAGUAGAAGCUUUGGCUCAAGAACACGCUCAUGUGGAUGUGGUGUUCAACGUUGCAGUGUGUGUGUGUGUCCCACUCUCCUUCUCUUUAGAGAACAGCCCAACUUAUUUGUUCCUGUAAACGGUUGCCUCACUUGUUUACGCCCCUGCUUAAUCGCCACUCCAAAGUCCUUGCAUCGAAAGGGUUAAAUCUCAGCUUGUGCUGCUGUCAAUCCUUUUAAAAGGACUACUGCUGAUGCUUUGGUAAAGCACAGAGACUGAUGACAUUCACCUCAACCACAUUUCUAGUUUCCACCAUUGUGUUAUCCCCCAAUAAGAGGCAUUAUGGUCUGCAGCCUGUGAUGACAUGCACUAAAGCUUUAAAUGUUGGUACAGGUUUGUGCACCAUGGCAGCAUAACGUGAGGCAAUUCAACCACUGCAGCAGAUCUGUUGGAGCAGGAAAAGAUCUAAAACAUUCAGGACAGUGGCCCUCGAGGACCAGGAUUGAGACCAGUGAAAUACACUAGUACGGAAAUCCCAAAGCAAAACCCCUUCAAGAUAAUGGAGAAGCAAAAUCCCCCCCAGCAAACCCCCCGGCGCAAAAUAACCCCCCAAAACCCCCUCCCCAAUGAAACAACCCCCCACCCCGCCCCAGACCCCUGGUCUGGCACAGCGCCACAAACAGGGCCAAGGAGGCGCGCAGGGUGGCCUCAGAAAACCAAGUGAGUUAAAAAUGUUUGCUCAAAAACAUGACAUCAUCUUCAAUUAAUUGAUUAUAGUCAAUCAGAUCAAGAACUAACCGGAUAUUAUUGUGAAUUGAACAUCCUUUUAAGAAUCCUGAUUGUGUGUCCGAGAUGAUCUGAUUCAGUCCUGUUUUUAAUCUAGAUGCAUAAAUGUUGGUUAAAAUUUUAUAAUCACUAUUAAGGAGGGAUAUUGGCCUCAAAUUAUCAAUUAGUCUGGCGUCUUUCCCAGGUUUAGGAAUUAAGGUGAUGACGCCUUGCUUCAUAGUAGUUGGAAUGAAGUUUAACUGAGAAAUUUCCUUUAUGACCAACAGAAACUGCUCUUUCAAGUGUUCCCAGAAAUGUCUAUAAAAGUUAAUAGUAAGCCCAUCAGAUCCUGGAGAUUUAUCUAAAGCUAAACUUCUCAUGGCUUUUUCUGCUUCUUCCAUAGUGAUUUCUGCUUCACACACUUGUUUAAAGUUUUCAUUCACUUUAGGAGCCAAAUCCAGGAAGUAGUGGCGUAUAACCUGCUACACUUGGACUAUGGAAGUUCAAAGUGGAAAUGACCCAAUCUACAAACCGUCACUGCAUUGACUAAAGACAAAACAACUUUUAUUUUUACACGUUUUUUACAGGAGAUUAGAGCCAAUGUAAAAAAAAAAAGUAUUUUUUUAAAUGUUUUCCUCAUUAUUGAAGGCUAUUCCUUAAGUAUGCUGCGGUUUACUAAAAGCACUUACUCACUAAAAGUGGGAAUGUUGUAUAAUUCAGUUUACCUUUGAUAUACAAUCUUUAUUUUGCAAAUCUAAACUGUUUCCAUUUUUGUCUGAGAAUGUUUUCACUUAUACUUUCUGCACUACUUGUAUUAGGUCUACGAUAAACAUGCUGUGCUAAUAUUCAGGUAUACUUUUUAGAAUAAACUUGAAUUUACAGUACUACUUUUUGCUUAGGGAUUUGUCCAGUCUUAAUCUCCUUAUCACACCUUCACUUUGAAAUAUUGGGGGGGAAUAAAAAGAAAACAUUCUGUUUGUUUUACCUUAGCAAAACAUUUCGCAUAUUGAAUGCAAUAAAAAAUAAGUGAGUAAUAAUAGUAUAAUAAUAAUUUCAAGUAUAGUGCAUCACUUGUAGUAUAGACUUAUUUUUGUAAUAGACUUAAGUAGACUACUUUCUGCUAAAGGAAGUCAAGCAGAAGUUCCCAGAUGAAUAGUUUGUUUAUAUCUGUUGCAAAAAUCAAUUCUUCAUAGAUUUCCCGUAGCAAAGCAAAAUUGAAGAUGAGAUCUCGAUUCUGUCUCAUUUACGUCUCUUAGACAUAAAUGAGAACCAUUUGAGACUAAUCUGGUUUUCUCAUUCUUCUCAUAUACGUAACUCAAUUACAGUUUCAAGAGAGAAAAGUUAAAUCAUUUAGACAUUCAUGUCCUCAAGACAUCUUUUUGAAACUUUUUAUAAUACAUGAAGUUUCAAGACAAUGUUGCAAUGUCGAUUUAAUAAACUUUUCUUUUGACUGCUUAGAUAAACAUAAAUGAACAAGUAUGUAUGUUGGGUCAAUGAUGCUAGGUUUAGAUAAACAGAAACACACACAUGCACUGGCACACAUGCACGCACACACAAGAGCACACAUGCGUAUGUGGUGGUGUGUAUAAAAAAUUUAACAGAUUGAUGUCUGAACUAAAUUAAGGACAUUUGGGAUCAAAUUUGGAUCUGCUUAAAGUAAACAAAAAACAUGAUUGUGUAUUGGACCAAACAAAUAAAAUGAAUAAUUAAAAAGAAUAAAUACAUAAAACAACUGGGGGGGGGGCAGUUUGAGUUCAUUUAUCUUUGUCCUAAAAAAAAUCACCCUUCAUGCAGCCUCACAAGCUGAAAAUAUAUAUUUUUUCUUGAUUUUAGUCUGCAUCAUCUUGAACUAACACAGUGCUUUAUAAUUAUUUAUUUGCCAAGCCCCCCUAGGAAAAA